Molecule: ribosomal RNA, 445 nt
Filed under: uncultured bacterium
Lineage: Bacteria
Description: partial 16S ribosomal RNA
Rfam family: Bacterial small subunit ribosomal RNA
Source: RNAcentral
GUGAGGAAUAUUGGUCAAUGGACGAGAGUCUGAACCAGCCAAGUCGCGUGAAGGAAGACGGUUCUAUGAAUUGUAACCUUCUUUUGUGCAGGAAUAAAGUGGGUUACGUGUAACCUUUUGUAUGUACUGUACGAAUAAGGAUCGGCUAACUCCGUGCCAGCAGCCGCGGUAAUACGGAGGAUCCGAGCGUUAUCCGGACUUAUUUGGUUUAACGGGUGCGUAGGUGGAUUGAUAAGGCAGCGGUGAAAGUUUGCAGCUUAACUGUAAAAGUGAGGUUGAAACUGUCGGUCUUGAGUGCAAAUGAGGUAGGCGGAAUGUGUUGUGUAGCGGUGAAAUGCUUAGAUAUAACACAGAACUCCGAUUGCGAAGGCAGCUUACUGGGAUGCAACUGACACUGAUGCACGAAAGCGUGGGUAUCAAACAGGAUUAGAAACCCCAGUAGUCC